UUGGUAGAAAAAAAAAGUUUAUUAAGUAGUGCAUCCACAUUGUCAUAGGCUAAACAUUGUAUCUGUUUUAUUGAUUCCUAAAUAUUUUUUGUACUAAAUGGCUGUAAGUUUUUUUUCGCUGUAGUAUACUGCAAGACAGUACGGUACUAUAGCACACAGCACAUAAACCACUGUAUAUUGAGUGUAUCUAAACGAAGAGAUCAAGCAGCUGCAGGGAGGAACUGGGCCGAAUUUCUGGCAUGACGAUCUGCUUAUGGCCCAGAUCAAUAUUUCUAGGCCGAUGCCUCCUCAUGUGGCCACCUAGGGCCUGGCCCAUCUGAAAGCCCAACCCACACACCUCGCACGCGUGGAUUAGAGGCUUGGACGGGCCGGGCCGCCGCUUGUUGGUAGUGGGCCGGAGGUGACUGGUCCGGUGGCCGCCGAGCGCCUGGUGCGACGGGAACCGCCGCCCGCACGUCCGGCACUCGAACGCCGCCGCCGCCGCCUCCUCGUCCCGCCGGCGACGCCGUGGCUCCGCGUCCUCCUCAUCGCCGGACGAUGACAUCGCCGUCGUCGAGCCGCACGCCAGCGACAGCGAGAGCUGCACGUCGAGCUCCGCGAGCUGGCUAAGUUGGUUAUCGUCUUCUUCUUCCUCGAGCUCAAGCUGCAGAUCACUAGUGUAGUCCUCCUGCUGGUCCAUGGCGGUGACGACGACGAAGACGUCGCUAUCUCUCGCGAACGCAAAGGUUACACUUACACUUACACUUCACUAGCUUGGGUUAAUUAACAAAAGAUUAGAUUCAGGU
Molecule: small RNA, 785 nt
Filed under: Oryza sativa Japonica Group (Japanese rice)
Lineage: Eukaryota; Viridiplantae; Streptophyta; Magnoliopsida; Poales; Poaceae
Description: sRNA Os11g0702250
Source: RNAcentral